UACGGAGGAUCCAAGCGUUAUCCGGAAUCAUUGGGUUUAAAGGGUCCGUAGGCGGCCUGUAAGUACAGUGUGAAUCAUCCCGCCUCAAUGGGGAAACGGCCAUUGAUACUGCAGGGCUUGAAUUAUUGGGAAGCAACUAGAAUAUGUAGUGUAGCGGUGAAAUGCUUAGAUAUUACAUGGAAUACCGAUUGCGAAGGCAGGUUGCUACCAAUACAUUGACGCUGAUGGACGAAAGCGUGGGUAGCGAACAGG
This 252-nucleotide ribosomal RNA is filed under the name uncultured bacterium. Its description in RNAcentral is "partial 16S ribosomal RNA". It matches the Rfam family "Bacterial small subunit ribosomal RNA", at positions 524 to 776 of the family's 1533-position model. The record is from RNAcentral.